RNAcentral lists this ribosomal RNA (492 nucleotides) under uncultured bacterium. Its description in RNAcentral is "partial 16S ribosomal RNA". It matches the Rfam family "Bacterial small subunit ribosomal RNA", at positions 29 to 507 of the family's 1533-position model. The record is from RNAcentral.
AGUGAACGCUGGCGGUAGGCCUAACACAUGCCAGUCGAACGGCAGCACAGUAAGAGCUUGCUCUUACGGGUGGCGAGUGGCGGACGGGUGAGGAAUACAUCGGAAUCUACUUUUUCGUGGGGGAUAACGUAGGGAAACUUACGCUAAUACCGCAUUCGACCUACGGGUGAAAGCAGGGGAUCUUCGGACCUUGCGCGAUUGAAUGAGCCGAUGUCGGAUUAGCUAGUUGGCGGGGUAAAGGCCCACCAAGGCGACGAUCCGUAGCUGGUCUGAGAGGAUGAUCAGCCACACUGGAACUGAGACACGGUCCAGACUCCUACGGGAGGCAGCAGUGGGGAAUAUUGGACAAUGGGCGCAAGCCUGAUCCAGCCAUACCGCGUGGGUGAAGAAGGCCUUCGGGUUGUAAAGCCCUUUUGUUGGGAAAGAAAAGCAGCAGGUUAAUACCCCGCUGUUCUGACGGUACCCAAAGAAUAAGCACCGGCUAACUUCGUG